GGGCCUGCGUUUCAUUAGCUAGUUGGUAGGGUAAUGGCCUACCAAGGCAACGAUGAGUAGCUGGUCUGAGAGGAUGAUCAGCCACACUGGAACUGAAACACGGUCCAGACUCCUACGGGAGGCAGCAGUGGGGAAUAUUGCGCAAUGGGCGAAAGCCUGACGCAGCAACGCCGUGUGAGGGAUGAAGGCUUUCGGGUCGUAAACCUCUGUCGGAAGGGAAGAACGGGCAUUGGUCUAAUAGGCCUUUGUUUUGACGGUACCUUUAGAGGAAGCACCGGCUAACUCCGUGCCAGCAGCCGCGGUAAUACGGAGGGUGCAAGCGUUAUUCGGAAUUACUGGGCGUAAAGCGCACGUAGGCGGCCUUGUAAGUCAGGGGUGAAAUCCCACGGCUCAACCGUGGAACUGCCUUUGAAACUGCAGGGCUUGAAUCCUGGAGAGGGUGGCGGAAUUCCUGGUGUAGGAGUGAAAUCCGUAGAUAUCAGGAGGAACACCGGUGGCGA
RNAcentral lists this ribosomal RNA (500 nucleotides) under uncultured sulfate-reducing bacterium. RNAcentral's name for it is "bacterial SSU rRNA". It matches the Rfam family "Bacterial small subunit ribosomal RNA", at positions 227 to 718 of the family's 1533-position model. The record is from RNAcentral.